This 318-nucleotide RNase P RNA is filed under the name Flavobacterium chilense. RNAcentral's name for it is "Bacterial RNase P class A". It matches the Rfam family "Bacterial RNase P class A". From Rfam's summary of the family: Ribonuclease P (RNase P) is a ubiquitous endoribonuclease, found in archaea, bacteria and eukarya as well as chloroplasts and mitochondria. Its best characterised activity is the generation of mature 5'-ends of tRNAs by cleaving the 5'-leader elements of precursor-tRNAs. Lineage: Bacteria; Pseudomonadati; Bacteroidota; Flavobacteriia; Flavobacteriales; Flavobacteriaceae. The record is from RNAcentral.
GCCGCAGACCGCCUUAUCGUCGUCUCAAUUUAUUGGGAGGGAGGAAAGUCCGGACACCAUAGAGAAGCAUAGCGGGUAACACCCGUCGGGGUUAGCAAUAACUUCAGGACAAGUGCAACAGAAAGUAUGUACAGGUAAUGCUGUAGUGAAACCAGGUAAACUCUAUGCGGUGAAAUACCAAGUAUAUCAGCAUUUAAGGGCUUCUCGUCCGUUGUUGAAGGGUAGGUAGCUUGAGUUCCGAAGUAAUUCGGAAUCUAGAUAAAUGAUAAGGCUCUGAUUUAUCAGAGACAGAAUCCGGCUUACAGGUCUGCAUUUUUU